RNAcentral lists this ribosomal RNA (782 nucleotides) under uncultured bacterium. RNAcentral's name for it is "bacterial SSU rRNA". It matches the Rfam family "Bacterial small subunit ribosomal RNA", at positions 8 to 808 of the family's 1533-position model. The record is from RNAcentral.
AGAGUUUGAUCAUGGCUCAGGACGAACGCUGGCGGCGCGCCUAACACAUGCAAGUCGAGCGAGAACCAGGGCUUGCCCUGGGGACAGCGGCGAACGGGUGCGUAACACGUGAGCAACCUGCCCCAAAGACCGGGACAACCCGAGGAAACUCGGACUAAUACCGGAUGCCCUCACCGGGUCGCAUGGUCUGGUGAGGAAAUGGAUUCCGCUUUGGGAUGGGCUCGCGGUCUAUCAGCUUGUUGGUGGGGUAACGGCCUACCAAGGCAACGACGGAUAGCUGGUCUGAGAGGACGAUCAGCCACACUGGGACUGAGACACGGCCCAGACUCCUACGGGAGGCAGCAGUGGGGAAUCUUGCGCAAUGGGGGAAACCCUGACGCAGCGACGCCGCGUGCGGGAUGAAGGCCUUCGGGUUGUAAACCGCUUUCAGCAGGGACGAAAUUGACGGUACCUGCAGAAGAAGGCCCGGCCAACUACGUGCCAGCAGCCGCGGUAAUACGUAGGGGCCUAGCGUUGUCCGGAAUUAUUGGGCGUAAAGAGCUCGUAGGCGGUUCGGCAAGUCGGAUGUGAAAUCUCCACGCUUAACGUGGAGGGGCCAUUCGAAACUGCUGUGACUCGAGUCGGGUAGGGGAGUGUGGAAUUCCCGGUGUAGCGGUGAAAUGCGCAGAUAUCGGGAGGAACACCAGUAGCGAAGGCGGCACUCUGGGCCGGUACUGACGCUGAGGAGCGAAAGCGUGGGGAGCGAACAGGAUUAGAUACCCUGGUAGUCCACGCCGUAAACG